Ribosomal RNA from Sinocyclocheilus anshuiensis, 119 nucleotides. The record is from Ensembl. NCBI's taxonomy places the organism in Eukaryota, Metazoa, Chordata, Actinopteri, Cypriniformes, Cyprinidae.
GCUUACGGCUAUACCACCCUGUCUGUGCCCGAUCUCGUCUGAUCUCAGAAGCUAAGCAGGGUCGGACCUGGUUAGUAUUUGGAUGGGAGAUUGCCUGGGAAUACUAGGUGCUGUAAGCU